AGUGAACGCUGGCGGUAGGCCUAACACAUGCAAGUCGAACGGCAGCACAGUAAGAGCUUGCUCUUACGGGUGGCGAGUGGCGGACGGGUGAGGAAUACAUCGGAAUCUACUUUUUCGUGGGGGAUAACGUGGGGAAACUUACGCUAAUACCGCAUACGACCUACGGGUGAAAGCAGGGGAUCUUCGGACCUUGCGCGAUUGAAUGAGCCGAUGUCGGAUUAGCUAGUUGGCGGGGUAAAGGCCCGCCAAGGCGACGAUCCGUAGCUGGUCUGAGAGGAUGAUCAGCCACACUGGAGCUGAGACACGGUCCAGACUCCUACGGGAGGCAGCAGUGGGGAAUAUUGGACAAUGGGCGCAAGCCUGAUCCAGCCAUACCGCGUGGGUGAAGAAGGCCUUCGGGUUGUAAAGCCCUUUUGUUGGGAAAGAAAAGCAGCAGGUUAAUACCCCGCUGUUCUGACGGUACCCAAAGAAUAAGCACCGGCUAACUUCGUG
Molecule: ribosomal RNA, 492 nt
Filed under: uncultured bacterium
Lineage: Bacteria
Description: partial 16S ribosomal RNA
Rfam family: Bacterial small subunit ribosomal RNA
Source: RNAcentral